CCUACGGGAGGCAGCAGUGAGGAAUAUUGGUCAAUGGUCGGGAGACUGAACCAGCCAAGCCGCGUGAGGGAGGAAGGUACAGAGUAUCGUAAACCUCUUUUGUCAGGGAACAAAGGCGGGGACGUGUCCCCGGAUGAGUGUACCCGAAGAAAAAGCAUCGGCUAACUCCGUGCCAGCAGCCGCGGUAAUACGGAGGAUGCGAGCGUUAUCCGGAUUUAUUGGGUUUAAAGGGAGCGUAGGCCGCAUGUCAAGCGUGCUGUGAAAUGUCCGGGCUCAACCCGGGCCUUGCAGCGCGAACUGGCGUGCUUGAGUCCGCGGAAAGCAGGCGGAAUUCGUCGUGUAGCGGUGAAAUGCUUAGAUAUACGGAGGAACACCAGUGGCGAAGGCGGCCUGCUGGACAUUAACUGACGCUGAGGCGCGAAAGCGUGGGGAGCAAACAGGAUUAGAUACCCGUGUAGUC
Molecule: ribosomal RNA, 460 nt
Filed under: uncultured bacterium
Lineage: Bacteria
Description: partial 16S ribosomal RNA
Rfam family: Bacterial small subunit ribosomal RNA
Source: RNAcentral